GACGUAGGGGGCCAGCGUUGUUCGGAAUUACUGGGUGUAAAGGGUUCGUAGGCGGUGUGGCAAGUCGGGAGUGAAAUCUCUGGGCUCAACUCAGAGACUGCUUCCGAAACUGCUGUGCUGGAGUGUGGGAGAGGCGCGUGGAAUUGCAGGUGUAGCGGUGAAAUGCGUAGAUAUCUGCAGGAACACCCGUGGCGAAAGCGGCGCGCUGGACCACUACUGACGCUGAGGAGCGAAAGCCAGGGGAGCAAACGGG
This 253-nucleotide ribosomal RNA is filed under the name uncultured bacterium. Its description in RNAcentral is "partial 16S ribosomal RNA". It matches the Rfam family "Bacterial small subunit ribosomal RNA", at positions 524 to 776 of the family's 1533-position model. The record is from RNAcentral.